UAAAUCUGUUCCAAUUAAUGCCUGUUCGAUGCUCAGGUGGCUGCCAGAACUGCUGCUUGUCAGGAACUGCAAGAAAAGAUCAAAGAAAUGUAAACAAUUGACAAUCUAACAAGAGGGCAUUGUCCCCCCCUCCUGGAAACUCACUACGCAGAAGAACUUAAGUGUAUAAUAAUAGGCUUUGGAAGGAGGCAUCUUCACCGGCUGCUCAGGAUACCCUGCCAAUGUGCACAGAUCUGGAUUGAUAAGGGGCAGUAAGGAGAUGCUCAAAUGCUCCGUCAAGUCGAGGCUGAAAGCCUACCAGCUCAAGGUUUUCCGUGUUGGGAUCCAUUGGCAGAAUUAUUUGUAAUAAGAAGGUGGUUGUAGGCUACCUAUUUCCUCUGAGGGUGCUAACCUAGUUCGGGUCAUGGCUGCCUGAUGAGAAGUUCUAGUCCCACCUCAUACUUCAAGGACACUGGCUUGAAGAGGCCUAAUUAUGCCACGGACACAAGCAAAGACCGUGAAACAGACCCUUCUGGGUAGUAUGUUUUAGUAUAAUUGCCUCUUCCAGAUUUUCUCAAGGAAAAAACAUUUGCUUUUUGGCAUUAGGUCUUAGUAUUAGGACAGCUUACAGACUGUGGGCAAAGGCUUUGUGAAAACAGGCAUAUUGAGGCAUAAGGUUAGGCUUUUUUUUAGGUGAAAAUAAAAUUUGGAUUUAAAAAUUGCA
Long non-coding RNA from Suricata suricatta (meerkat), 703 nucleotides. RefSeq lists it as uncharacterized. NCBI's taxonomy places the organism in Eukaryota, Metazoa, Chordata, Mammalia, Carnivora, Herpestidae. The transcript is spliced from 2 exons. The record is from RefSeq and is a predicted model, not a curated record.